GUGCGCAUGUCGUGGCCGGUGUUCUGCUCGCCACCGGCAGAAAUGGUCGUUGGUCCUCUGCCCCAACUUGUUAGCCAUGAGAGCCCUGCAAAAUAUAAGACCAAGAAGUACAAGGAGUAUAAGUAUUGCAAGAUCAACAAACUGCCACAAUAAAAUGAUUUCUAGUCAUGUUAAAGUCGAGUUUGUCGUCCCUAUGCUGUGAUAUCUGUGCUGCUUAGAGCCUCACAAAGUUUCAGAAAUGGAACCACUGUAAUAACUCCAAGACACCAGCUCAUUUUAGUAGCUCUUAUUGGAGAAGUACCUUAGAAUGAAAACAUUGAAACUAUAUUUGAGGCGGUUAUAUAUAUUCUUCAUGCUCUAUUUAAUAAAUUAUACGUGGGAUGUGGCCUUUCUUUCUUCAAUCACAACAAUGAAAAAAUAUUUCAGAAAAUCUUCUAAGAGUACAUCAUGGCGUUACACCUGACGUCCUCGGUUCAUGGAAAGUUAUACGUAAAAGGCACAGCUACUACAAUUGCCUUGCAGCUUAGAACUCGAACAUUAUUGAGAGUGCCACAUAAUGUGUACCUAUAUGUAUACGGUUUCUUUAUCGAGGGUAGAUGCCAGCAUUGUUUGUAGUUAAUCGGUCCAUUCUGAGAGUAGAGUUGCUAUCAAAGCCCUGUGCAAAUGAAGUUGGGUUUGAUGCCAUUGGGCAUCUUUUGCGGCUGGAAAAGUUGUGUGGAAUUAGAUUUGCACUAACGUUAAGGAUUGCAGGUUACCUUCAAAUGACCGUUCGAACCCUAUAGUAGAAUGGCGAAACAAUGUUGCAGGAUGAACACUACUUGUAAUUAAGAGAAAGGAACUAGAAGGUAGAAGGACGGUAGUGGCUACAAGCUGCAAUGAAAGAGCUUCACGGAAUCCACUAAAGCCUUCAAAACCUGUUGGUUCUAAAAUUUGCAUCAACUAGUAACUUUGUUUUCUCUAUAUUAUCAUAUCUCUAAAGUCAAUAAUUUUUUAUGCGAAACUACUAAACUCAAUCACUAUGCUACAAUUACUUAGCAAUUUUCUAUUGAGAUCUAUUCCAUAGAGGUACUUAAAUUGCAUCUGAUUUCUAGUAUACAUCAUGGUUAAUAGAUAUUGCAUAGUUUAUAAAUUUUAUGAGCCAUAUGUGCGAAAAGCUUAUCAAGCUCAACAAUUUAUUCACAUGAGAGCCAGUUGGCCGGAUUAUAUAAAAAUCAAUCGAGCAUUGGAAUCGAGCCAAGAGUACACACUAAUGAGUAAUUUUAGAAACCAAAUUUGGUAAUUGGAAACAUGGACAUAAAUGGUCUUCAGGCAGUUCUUUGCAAGCAAUGUUUUCUAGUUAUCGAGUUUAACAAUGAUCAAGCUUAUCUGAACAACAAAUGUUUCACAACCGACUGCUAGCUAUAAUUGUCAUGUGUUUUGCAAAACCAUUCACGAGUCUCUUUGUCACGCACUGAACCUAAUAUCCGGAUCGAAUAUGUGAUAACCGCACACUCUUUAAGACAUGCCCUAAAAAAUAUGCAAGGUCCAAAAUAAUUCAUUACAACCUCAACAGCCAUAAUGUCUAAUUUCAAUAAUAAUUAAUAAAACUUACAUAAUUACAAUUUAAAUUCCUUCAAUCUUCUGAUCAGGUAUCAAUGACACUCUAUCUAUGUAUCCGCUCACUCGCAAAUCUAUACCAUAGCAAAUUAUGAGCAUCCUGCAAUUCUGAGAAGAAAAGAAAAAAAAGAGGAGUGUGAACUUUACAGUCCAGUAAGAAUUCCGCAUAUCACACCAAUAUAAUAAUAUAAUAUAAAAAUAAGAAUAAGCAAUAAAACAUAAAAUCUCAUGUUCAAUAUCCAGAAUAUUGUAAACAUUUAAAAAUUAUCUGUUUUGUCAAAAGAGAUGCAUCAUCAUAUGUUAACGGAUGAAACACUUUUAUUUAAUAUUAGUUUCAUAUCUUGUUUUCUAUUUCUCUUUUCAUAAUCACAUUAUCUUUAGCUUUUUUUUCUGACUUUGGACUAACCAAGACUAUGCCUCAGUCUCCAUCCGAUCAAAUUUUCACUCAUAAGCCCAUCAAGGCUGUCCCAGGCAUGAGCUCAUGGCUGGCUGUCCCAUGUAUGAAAAUUCAUGGGGGCUGUCCCAGACACAAGUUCCUGACGGACUAUCCCAGACAUGAGCUCCUAAUCGGCUGAUCCACGUAUAAGCCUAUAGAGACUGUCCCACGCAUAAGCUCCUAGCAGGCUAUCCCAGGCACAAGCUCCUGACGGACUGUUCCACAUGACGAGACUAGUCCAAAUCAUAUCUUUUUUAUUUAAUUAUUAUAUGUUAAUUUCACCAAAUCAAUUUCGAUUUACAAUAUGAUCAAAAUAGAUAUGGCAUAUCCAUAUAAUUAUAUCAUCAAUCACUGGCAUACAUACAUAUUAACAUACAAUAUAUGUACAUUAAAAAAUUAUACGAGAAAUAAUAGUAUCUCAACAUGAUAAUCCAUCAACACGAAUCCAAUGAUAUAAAACCAAAGAUACAAAUCCAACAAUAAAAAUAGUAUACAUAAUGGUGAUCAUGUAUAAAGAUGCUUACCUCUACCGGUGAUCGAUCUAAAUAUAAAUAUCGAUGAGCUCCUCAAUCUACGAAUCCAAAAUCAAGAUAUUUUACUCAAUACUUUUUUGCACAAUAAUUGCAUCUCUACAUGAUUAGGAUUAAAUAUAAAAAAUCAUAUAUAUAAAAAAGUUAUAAAUAAAUGAUCCUAAUAAUAUAAAUCCAGGACCCUCAUAGGAUCAACCAAGAUUGGGAUUACUUAAGUACCUAGACCCUUCACUGAUCUGUAAAACUCUUAGAGAGAAAAUUCAUGAAGAGAGAGAAAAUUUUAGAAAGAGAAAGUAGAGAAAAAAAUGAGCUUUUUAGAGAGAGAAAGUGAAGAGAGAAUCUUCAUAUCCUCCAGACAAUGAAAAUAUGAUCGAGAUCAUCAGAGGUCAUAUCAAGGUGACUCAAUGUGGAUUAACUAUGAUCAGAUGAUAUAAAUUUCGAAUAAGGGUCGGGCUGGGAUCCAAUCUAUUGCACGAAUUUUAAAGUAAUUUUAGGUCAUCUUAUUUUCAUCUCAAGUUUAUCCUAGAAACCGUGAUGCAGUUAGAGAGAGAGUAGAAAGACCUUAGAGAGAGAAGAUGAAAGAGUGAGAGAGAAAAUUCUCUUUUUUUUUCUUUUUUUUUCUUCGUCUUCUUCUUUCUUUUCCUAGCCAAACAGAGGAGGGACACGAGGAAGGGAAUGGGCUUGGUGGCUCGUGCUCCGAUGAGAUGCGAUGGCACGAUCGGAGAUCCGAUAGCGGCGACCGACGGCGGUGGAGCUAGAGAUGGCCAACGGUGAGGUUCGGCCGACGAGAAAUUAAAAAAAAAAUCAAAAAAAUAAGGGACCGCCCCUCUUUUCUUUGAUUUUCUCGAUUAUCGAUCGAUCAUCGAGGACCAAACCUCUGGAGAAGGAAACUAAGGAGGUAGGGGUCAUGACCCAUAGGUGUGACACCAUAGGCGGUGAUGCUGGUGGUCGGAAAAGAGAGGGAGAAGGCUCGUUCAAAACAGAGAAAAAUAGAAUUUUUAUUUUUUUGUGGGAUUUUUGAUGAACCCGAUGGCCGGUGGGGGUGCAUGAUACCAUGAGAAGGAGGGGAAGAAAGAGAGGAAGGAGGGCUGGGGCUUAUCUCCAUCUCCGGUGAGGUCUCUGACGAGGAUUUGAGGCAAACAUAAAGAGAGUGUCGGUGGCUUCAACGAAAAAAUUCGAAAGAAAGAAGAGGGAGAAAUUGGUGCUCGUCGUGGCCAACUAUGGAGGAAGAAGGAAGAGUUUUAUGAGGCUCUUCCUAGGGUUCUUAUUUGCCCCAGGAGACCCUCUCCUAAUCGAGCAAGAGGAGGAAGAUGGAGUCUUCUUUCAAAUUUUUUUUUUUUCAAGUGGGCUUGGUGGGCCUAAUCUUAGUGGGCUUAUAUAAAUUAGGACUGGAUAUCACAUUCCACCUCCCUUUAAAAAAAGUUUCGUCCUCGAAACUAGGAUGCUGCAAGUCAAAAUCUUAAGAGUAUAAACUUUUCAUCUUGUCUUCAUGCUCAAAGAUAACUUUCUUUAUUGAAAAAAUGAAAUUCAAAUCCUCUACCAUAACAUCUUCGCUUAAAUCACCACACUUUCGCCUUUAAAUUUAUCAAAUUUCUCGAGAUUUACUAAAUAAUCUUCAAUCAAUUAAGAUCAUAAUUUGUCACUCUGAUACCAUUUACGUCACCAUCCUUAGUGGUCAUAAUCUGAAGUUUGAUAUCCUUCUACCAUACUCCAAUAAUUAUAACCCAAAGUUUUGAUAUAGCUUAUGUUACAGUCCCUAGUGAUAUUAAAUCUAAGCUCUGGUACCAUGCUAUCAUAUCAUAAUCACUUAUAUCAUAGUCUCCAAAUGAUCAUAACCAAAGCUCUGAUACCACUCUGCCACUUCUUAUUGAUUAUACACAAAGUUUUGAUAUCAUUUCACAGUCCCUAAUGAUCUUAAACCUAAACUCUGAUAUCACUCUGUCACACUCCGAACUCAAUAUCCGAGUCGGAUACGUGAUGGCCGCACACUCCUUAGGGCAUGUCCUAAAGAAUAUGCAAGGUCCAAAAUAAUUCAUUACAACCUCAACAUCCAUAACGUCUAAUUUCAAUAAUAAUUAGUAAAACUUGUAUAAUUAUAAUUUAAAUUCCUUCAAUCUUCUGAUCAGAUAUCAAUGACACUCUAUCUAUGCAUCCGUUCACUUGCAAAUCCAUACCAUAGUAAAUUAUGAGCAUCCUGCAAUUCUGAGAAGAAAAAAAAAGGAUGAGUGUGAGCUUUACAGCCUAGUAAAAAUUUCGUAUAUCACAUCAAUAUAAUAAUAUAAUCUGAAAAUAAGAAUAAGAAAUAAAAUAUAAAAUCUCAUGUUCAAUAUUCAGAAUACUGUAAACAUUCAUAAAUUAUCUGUUUUAUCAAAAGAGAUGCAUCAUUAUAUGUUAACAGAUGAAAUACUUUUAUUCAGUAUUAGUUUCAUGUCUUAUCUUCUAUUUCUCUUUUCAUAAUCACAUGAUAUUUAACCUUUUUCUUUCCGACUUUAGACUAACCAAGACUAUGCCUUAGUCUCUAUCCGAUCAAAUUUUCACUAAUAAGCCCAUCAAGGCUGUCCCAGGCAUGAGCUCCUAUUUGGCAGUCCUACGUAUGAAAGUCCGUGGGGGCUGUCCUAGGCAUAAGUUCCUGACAGACUAUCCCAGGUAUGAGUUUCUGACCAACUGAUCCACGUAUAAGCCCAUGGGGGCUGUCCCAGAUAUAAGCUCUUAGCAGACUGUCCUAGGCAUAAGCUCUUGACGGACUAUUCUACAUGACGAGGCUAGUCCAAAUCAUUUUUUUUUAUUUAAUUAUUAUAUGUUAAUUUUACUAAAUCAAUUCUGAUUUAUAGUGUGAUCAAAAUAAAUAUGUCAUAUCCAUAUAAACAUAUCAUCAAUCACUGGCAUACAUACAUAUUAACACACAAUAUAUGUACAUUGAAAAAUCAUACGAGAAAUAAUAAUAUCUCAACAUGAUAAUCCAUGAACAUGAAUCCAACGAUAUAAAACCAAAGAUACAAAUCCAACAAUAAAAGUAGUAUAUAUAAUGAUGAUCAUGUAUAGGGAUUCUUACCUCUACCGAUGACCGAUCUAAAUACAAAAAUCGAUGAGCUCCUCAAUAUACGAAUCUAAAAUCAAGAUAUUUUGCUCAAUACCUUCUUGUACAAUAAUUGCAUCUCUACAUGAUUAAGAUUAAACAUAAAAAUCAUGUAUAUAUAAAAAUUACAGAUAAAUAAUCUUAAUAAUAUAAAUUCAGGAUCCCUCGUAGGAUCAACCAAGAUUGGGAUUACUUAAGUACCUAGACCCUUCACUGACCCAUAAAACUCCUAGAGAGAAAAUCCAUGAAUAGAGAGAAAAUUUUAGAGAGAGAAAGUAGAGAGAAAGUGAGCUUUUUAGAGAGAAAAAGUGGAGAGAAUCUUCACAUCAUUCAAACGAGGCAAACAUGAUCGAGAUCAUCAAAGGUCAUAUCAAGGUGACUCAAUAUGGAUUAAUUAUGAUUAGAUACUAUAAAUUUUAAAUAAGGACUGGACUGAGAUCUAAUCUACUGCACGAAUUUUGAAGUGAUUCCAGAUCAUCUUAUUUUUAUCUCAAGUUUGUCCUAGGAUCCAUCAUAUAGUUAGAGAGAGAAAGAGAGAGAGUAGAAAGACCUUAAAGAGAAAAGGAGAGAGAGAGAGAGAGAGAAAUUCCUCUCUCUUUUUUCUUUUUUUUCUUUUCUUCUUCUUCUUUCUUUUCUUUUCUUCUUUCUUUUCCUGACCGAAUAGAGGAGGAACAUGAGGGGGGAAGGGGCUUAGUGCCUCAUGCUCCGUGAGGUGCGGUGACAUGGUCGGAGGUCCGACAGUAGCGACCGACGGCGGUGGAGCCAAAGAUGGGCGGUGGUGAGGUUCGACCGGCUUGAUCGACGAGAAAUUAGAAAAAAAAUAGAAAAAAUAAGAGAUCGCCCCUCUUUUCUUUGAUUUUCUCAAUUAUCGAUCGAUCAUCGAGGAUCAAACCUCCGGGGAAGGAAACUAAGGAGGUAGGGGUCAUGACCCAUAGGUGCGGCACCAUGGGCGACGAUACUAGUGGCCGAAAAAGGAAGGGAGAAGGCUCGUUCAAAAUAGAGCAAAAUAAAAUUUUUAUUUUUUUGUGGGAUUUUUGACGAACUUGAUGGCCGGUGGGGGUGCGCGAUGCCAUGGGAAAGAAGAAAAGGAAGAGAUGAAAGAGGAGUGGGGCUUACCUCCAUCUCCGAUGAGGUCUCCGAUGAGGAUUUGAGGCAAACACAAAGAGGGCGUCGGCAGCUUCAACGAAAAAAUUCGAGAGAAAGAAGAGGAAAAAAUUGGUGCUUGUCGUGGCCGACUAUGGAGGAGGAAGGAAUGAUUUUAUAGAGCCCUUCCUACGAUUCUUAUUUGCCCUAGGAGACCCUAUCCUAAUCGAGCAAGGGGAGGAAGAAGAAGACUCCCGUUGGGAGUCUUCUUCCAAAUUUUUUUUUUCAAGUGGGCUUGGUGGGCCUAAUCUUUAUGGGCUUGUAUAAAUUAGGAUCGGGUAUUACAUUCUACUCCUCUUUAAAAAAAAAAUUUGUCCUCGAAACUAGAGUGCUGCAAGUUAAAAUCUUAAGAGUACAAACUUUUUAUCUUAUCUUCAUGCUCUAAGAUAACCUUCUUUAUUGAGAAAAUAAAAUUCAAAUCCUCUACCAUAACAUCUUCGCUUAAAUCACCACACUUUCACUGUACAUUCUGAUUUAAAUUUAUCAAAUUUCUCAAGUUUUACUAAAUAAUCUUCAAUCAAUUAAGAUCAUAAUUUAUAAUUUGUCACUCUGAUACCAUUUACGUCACCAUCCUUAGUGGUUAUAAUCAGAGAUUUGAUAUCCUUCUACCAUACUCCAAUGAUUAUAACCCAAAGUUUUGAUAUAGCUUAUGUUAUAGUCCCUAGUGAUCUUAAAUCUAAGCUCUGGUACCAUUCUGUCAUAUCUUAAUCACUUAUAUCAUAGUUCCCAAAUGAUCAUAACCUAAGCUCUAAUACCACUCUGACACUUCCUAUUGAUCAUACAAAAAGUUUUGAUAUCGUUUCAUAAUCCCUAAUGAUCUUAAACCUAAGCUCUGAUACCACUCUGUCACGCUCCAAACUCAAUACCCGGAUCGGAUACGUGAUGGCCGCACACUCCUUAGGGCAUGCCCUAAAAAAUAUGUAAGGCUCAAAAUAAUUCAUUACAACCUCAACAUCCAUAAUGUCUAAUUUCAAUAAUAAUUAGUAAAACUUGUAUAAUUAUAAUUUAAAUUCUUUCAAUCUUCUGAUCAGGUAUCAAUGAUACUCUAUCUAUGCAUCCGCUUACUCGCAAAUCCAUAUCAUAGCAAAUUAUGAACAUCCUGCAAUUCUGAGAAGAAAAAAAAAGAUGUGAGCUUUACAGUCCAGUAAGAAUUCCGCAUAUCACACUAAUAUAAUAACAUAAUAUAAAAAUAAGAAUAAAUAAUAAAAUAUAAAAUCAAUAUUCAGAAUACUAUAAACAUCUAUAAAUUAUCUGUUUUGUAAAAAAAGAUGCAUCAUCAUAUGUUAACGGAUGAAAUAUUUUUAUUCAGUAUUAGUUUCAUAUCUUGUCUUCUAUUUCUUUUUUCAUAAUCACAUGAUCUUUAAUAUUUUUCUUUCUGGCUUUAGACUAAUCAAGACUAUACCUCAGUCUCCAUUCGAUCAAAAUUUCACUCAUAAGCCCAUCAAGACUAUCCCAGGCAUGAGCUCCUGGCUGACUGUCCCACAUAUAAAAGUCCAUGGAGGCUAUCCCAAGCAUAAACUCUUGGCGGGCUAUCCCAGGCAUGAGCUCUUGGUCGGUUGAUCCAUAUAUAAAUCUGUGAGGGCUGUCCCAAGCAUAAGCUCCUAACAGACUGUCCCAGACAUAAACUCCUGACGGAUUGUUUCACAUGACGAGGCUAGUCCAAAUCAUAUCUUUUUCAUUUAAUUAUUAUAUAUUGAUUUCACCAAAUCAAUUUCGACUUACAGUGUGAUCAAAAUAGAUAUGUCAUAUCCAUAUAAUCAUAUCAUCAAUCACUGACAUACAUACAUAUUAACACACAAUAUAUGUACAUUGAAAAAUCAUACGAGAAACAAUAGUAUCUCAACAUGAUAAUCCAUCAACACGCAUCUAACGAUAUAAAAUCAAAGAUACAAAUCCAACAAUCAAAGUAGUAUAUAUAAUGGUGAUCAUGUAUAUGGAUUCUUACCUCUAUCGGUGACCGAUCUAAAUACAAAAAUCGAUGAGCUCCUCAAUCUACGAAUCCGAAAUCAAGAUAUUUUGCUCAAUACCUUCUUGUACAACAAUUGCAUCUCUACAUGAUUAGGAUUAAAUAUAAAAAUCAUGUAUAUAGAAAAGUUAUUGAUAAAUGAUCCUAAUAAUAUAAAUCCAGGACCUCUCAUAGAAUCAACCAAGAUUGAGAUUACUUAAGUACCUAGACCCUUCACUAGUCCGUAAAACUCCUAGAGAGAAAAUCCAUAAAGAGAGAAAAAUUCUAGAAAAAAAAAUAGAGAGAGAAAGUGAGCUAUUUAAAGGGAGAAAGUGGAGAGAGAAUCUUCGUAUCCUUCAGACGAGACAAACAUAAUCGAGAUCAUCAGAGGUCAUAUCAAGGUGACUCAAUAUGGAUUAAUUAUGAUUAAAUGCUAUAAAUUUUGAAUAAGGAUCGAGCUGGGAUCCAACCUACUGCAUGAAUUUCGAAGUGAUUCCAGAUCAUCUUAUUUUCAUUUUAAAUUUGUCUUAGGAUCCAAUGAUGCAAUUAGAGAGAGAAAGAAAGAGAGUAGAAAGACCUUAGAGAGAGAAGGAGAGAGAGAGAAAUCCUUUUUUUUCUUCUUCUUCUUCUUUCUUUUCCUGGCCGAACAGAGGAGGGACACAAGGGGGAAGGGGCUUGGUGGCUCGUGCUCCGGUGAGGUGCGGCAGCAUGAUCAGAGGUCCGACAGCGGCGACCGACAAUGGUGGAGCCAGAGAUAGUUGAUAGUGGGAUUCGACCGACAAUAAAUUAGAAAAAAAAUUGAAAAAAAUAAGGGACCGCCCCUCUUUUCUUUGAUUUUUCCGAUUACCGACCGAUCAUCGAGGACCAAACCUCCGAAGAAGGAAACUAGGGAGGUAGGGGUCAUGACCCAUGAGUGCGGCACCAUGGGCGGCGACGCUGGUGGCCGAAAAAGGAAGGGAGAAGGCUCAUUCAAAAUAGAGAAAAAUAGAAUUUUUAUUUUUUGUGGGAUUUCCAACGAACCCGAUGACCGGCGGGGGUGCGUGAUGCCAUGAAAAGGAGGGGAAGGAAGAGAGGAAAGAGGGCUGGGGCUUACCUCUGUCUCCGGUGAGAUCUUCGACGAGGAUUUGAGGCAAACACAAAGAGGACGUUGGCGGCUUCAACGAAAAAAUCCGAGAGGAAGAAGAGAGAGAAAUUGGUGCUCGUCGUGGCCGGCCACGGAGGAGAAAGGAAGGAUUUUAUAGGGCUCUUCCUAAGGUUCUUAUUUGCCUUAAGAGAAUCUCUCCUAAUCGAGCAAGGGGAGGAAGUGGGAGUCUUCUUUCAGAUUUUUUUUUUUCAAGUGGGAUUGGUGGGCCUAAUCUUGGUGGGCUUGUAUAAAUUAGGACCAGAUAUUACACUCUUUUACUCAAAUUCUCUAGCAUGAUGACCAUUCGACCCUAGAGAAUUAUCAUUCUAUAUUCAAUUAAUUUUUUCUAUUAAUCAAUUUUUUUUGUGAUUGGUUUCUCGUAACUUUCAUUAUUUUCUUUCUUUGUUUAUUCUCAUCCUAUUAGAAAUUUCAAGUCUUUUUACUAAAACAAAGUUGAACCUAGUCCCGAAUCAACCUAUUUCUAUUUAUCAUCUUGAUCGAUCUAGUAUACUAGCUACCAAACUAUAACAAUAGCUUUCGAGAAGCAUUUUCUUUUUGUCACAUCUGGUUAGACACUAGUAGGAUAGAAUGCCAAAGAAAAGCUCUAAAGCAGUGAGAUAAGAUGAAGCAUUGUAGAGGAACGAUCAUACAAAAAAUGUUGAUGCCUCAAUUAAUGCAUAUGACGAGCAUCUUAAUCAAGAUGAUGUAGAGGUAGUUGAGAAAAAUGAUAAGGAAAGAAGUUCCAAUUCAUAGAAGGAAGUUCUGCAAUCACAAGGCAAUGAAGAGGCUGAAGACUCUAAGAAAGGCCGAAACUUGACUGAAGGAAAAGAGCCUGUCUCUGAGAAUAAUCAAAAAAGUCAGAAGAAUUGGUAGAAACAAUUGACAUGUCCCUCGAUGAUACUUCAAUAAGAGAGAUUGGCCAUGUGGUAGCUCAAGCAAUGCAAAAACAUUUGUACAGGCCAUCUUAUAGAUUCUCAAAAGGCCUCCAGAAGGGAUCAAAGCACCAAAGGGGCUCAAGCGAUUCAAGCUAUAGAAAGAAGCACUGAUGUAAUAGCCCAUGUUCCUCAAUGAAGUACCUCUAAGAUUAAUCAACAUGAUGUCAGGAGGCCUACUCGACCAGUGCAUACAAGGCAAAGAAUAGACAAUUAUGAAGUUGAUGAUGGUAAAAUUAUUUGCCUAUUAAACCACAAUAAGACUUUGAGAUGAGAGAAAACUAGGUGGUUGGCAAUUGAGCUACAAAUUGUGGAUUCUUUGAUGAUGUUCGGUCCACUGAUGGGCUGAAUAAAGAUUAAGACAUUAGAUCAGCCAAUCUUUGACUGACCAUGUCUUGAGGAGGACAUAACACAUGUGCUAAGUUGGCUUGAUAAUUCAACCAUGCAAUGCUAAGUUGUGAGGAUGUAACAUGUUUUCCAUCCUGCAGAGAAGUUUGCUUGAUAAUUUAACCAUGAACCAUAAUCUUCUUGAUUUAGUGGUUGAAUAGUUGCAGAAGUGGUGGAUCCACUCUGAAUAAAAGGCAACAACAAAAACAACAAGAAACAGCUUCACUCUCUCCAGCACAUCAAAUAGCACUACUUUUAUUGCAAAUGUAGGUGGCAAUCUAUCUUAAGGUUAAACAUCCAACAAGAAUCUAUGAUUUGCCCUACUCUAGGGACCCAGGUUAGUUUUAAAUUGAACUUGGAAGAUUGGCAUGCACACACUAGCCUUUAAUGGCUCUUUAGGUUUUAAAUUAUUUUUUUAUGUUGAAUGUUCAUCUUUCCUUCAAGGGAGUUGCUUGAAUCUUGUCGAAACAGAAAGGAUUUCCACCCUAUCCGUGUGUGGAUUCAAUUGACAAAGUUCUUUUAUUUUCAUCCAUGGUCCAUAUCUUGCCACUGAAGCAUAGCCCUCAUGUUUGUGGAGUGGGAGAAAUGGAAUUCAAUAGAAUUGAGUAAAUGCAUAACUUGUUCCUAUCAUUUAAUGUUAGAGAGUAAUCUUGUAUUUAUGCUUAAUUCACUCAUCACUAGAAAAUUUGUCUUCCUUUAUCUUCCCUUAGUAUGUCUUUAAGUAAAGGCAGCCAGGAAGUUUUUUCAAGAGAAAAUCCUUAAAUCCCCCCAAUAAUGUUUGCAAAAAUGAAACCUCUUUUUUUUUUUUUUUUUCAAUUUUAUCAGCUUUAAUCUUUGUCAGAGUAAGCUUGGGAACACCUCUAGGAGGUCUAAGCGAUUUAAUCAUCCAAUGUAAAUGUUCAGCAAAUUACAUGUGCAAAAUAUCUCUCAUGCAUCAUUCCUUUCACCUAGGCCAGUCUCUAGUUGAUUUUGUGCAAGCAUGAAGCACCGGAUUUAAGUUCAUAUCUCACAUUUGUCUUCACACUGAAUUAGUAUUAGAAUCUGAAAAUCUAAACCUAGAAUUCCAUUUUAUUUGCUGUCGUACCACAUCAUGCCAAUAGUUUGCGUUAGUGAGAGCGUAGAUUUCAUCACAUGUGCAAAUGUUGCAUAUUUAAGGUUUCCCAGAGCUGCAUCAAUACCAAAGGGAAGAAAAGAAAAAAAAAAAUGAAAAAGGCUAGAUACAUACAAGCACUAUGUUUGCAUAUGAUAACCACUGAUAUCCAUCUACCAUAUAUUGUUCAUCUUUCAUGUAUGGAUGUAUGAUUGUUUACCAUGUAUAUCCCCAUAAUGCCUAUCUUAUGUGGCUGACUGCACAAUAGUUUUAUUACAUUGUUUACCCAGCCCUGCUUAGCAUAUUUAGCCUGUUGUAGAAAUGCACAUAUUCAUGUGUAGGUCACUGAAGUUGUACAGAUAGGUAUUUAUCACAAGGGAAUAAAUCAACUUAUAUCUCACAUAUUCCACACUGUGUCAAUUGCCACCAAGUUGUUCCUUCCUAAGUGCCUUAAAGAACAUGUUAUCAAGCAUCCACUUAAUUAAAUAAUAGCUUCUUUGCAUUCGACUUUCUCCUCGAUAAACUAAUACUAAGUGUUUGACUAUCUAAUAUUAUUUAACUGAUUAUUAGCUAUACAUGUAAGCAAAUUCCUUAUUUAAUACGAGAGACAGAAUGUUAGAGAAAAAUAUAGCAUAAUUUUUGGUUUCUGUAGAUAGACUUCCUUUUCAAUAGAUACACUCCUGUUGAUUCUUCGUUCAAACAAUGUUUUAGAAAAAGAGACAAAAAAGUGGGAGAUCAGUUAUUCGCUCACACAUAAUGAGCAGUGAAAAAAAAUGCAAGUGGCAGAAACUAGCAGAAAAUCAAAUCCUGACAAUUUCAUUCACUGAUGGGAUCACAUCCAUCCAUCCGUUGAUCCCACAGAAAAAUCUAGUCCACCUUAUUUAAUUUCUGAACAUAGCAUGAGCUCUGAUGGGUAACAACAUGAUGAGCAAGGAUGCAUAUUAAAGGCAUGUGUUUAAUGGCAGAACCAAACAUACCAAUCUUUAAUUUGCAUCAAAUAAUAUUUUUUUAACAUGAAAUGGCCUUAACAAAAAUAACUGGGAACCAUAUUUCGUAAGAUAAAACCAGUACAAGCAAGAAAAGUCAUAAACUGAAAAAAAGAAAUACUAUCAAAAUCAUUAUCAAUUUUCAAAAUUUACAAGGUGAUCAUCCAUCAAAUAAAAUUAACAUAAUAGGUAAUCACUUUUAAUAUUAUUUUACGUGGAAACAUCCUAUGAUGCUUAUCUGGCUGAUAAUCCUUAAAAAGAAAUGAUAGAAAUGAAAGAUAAAGAUAAUGAUAAACUCAACGGCAUUACCAUGAAAUGCUUCCUGAGCUGAUGUUUAAUCAAUAUGGAGAAGCAGAAUACACAAGUAUAUUUGUCAGCAUCAUAAUUCACAGUAUAAAUCCCUCUGUUUUCAUGCUUCCAUUAAUUAUCAUCAUCUUCACAUCCUAGUAGGCAAAAUGGAUAUGAGAGAAGAUUAUAGAAUAUUUUAUGACUAGCUCUUUGACAAAAACAUUAUGCAAACUUUGUGUAUAUGCAGUGUAGAAGGUAGAAUCAGAAUAGGACAAAUUUGAAGCAAAUAAGAAGUAUAACACUGCUAAACAAGAUAGAAGUACAGUUCUCACAAUUAUUCAAUUAAAAAACUAUACUUCCUGGUCAUAUCGUACGAUGCAACUUAGCUAAAAACAUCAUGUAGAUCUCACCAAAGAUCGAAAAGAUGAUUCAGUGUUGUUCAGAAAUGUAAUGACUGAUUACGUGCACACUUAUUUGCACAGCCCUCCAUGAGAAACCGAGAAGAUUACUUCUUCCAUCAUGGCUGAUACUGCCUCCUCUACACCAUAAUUACAAGUGGAAAUACGGAUCAUUCUCUUGUUUGCACUUGAUGACAUGCACAAGGAAGUUGCAACGAAUACAAUCUAUCAUCCAUGGAAGGAGUGUGAAACAGGUGCUCAUUCAAUGCUUAAGUGGCCCAAAAGACUACUUUUUGUUCUGUUGAGCACCCAAAUCAUAAGGAAGUAUUGCUCAGUGAGUGAUUGACCCCUUAGGUCAUUAGUUUAGGAUCAAUGUAAACACUCGUCAUGUUCUAAUUAUCUAAUCAAAUCAUCGAUUUCAUAUCUCUUUUGAGCUUUAUCAUGUCAGAGCCAACAUGUCUCUCAAUCUUGUUCAAUUACCUGGCAAUAAUUUGGGAAUCUUCAUAUUCCCCAUCCUUAGACCAGAGAUAAUCCAAACACAUAAAGAAGAGAAAUCUUUCAAAAAAACAAAAAACAAGAAUGAAUCAUUGCAAAUCUAGUGUCAACCUUCCAUCUUCUUGAGGUUCGAAACCAAUAUUAACUGUGUUUUGCUUAACACUUUGUACCAUCUAGUGUCAAAUACAAAAUUCAGAAAGAACUUAAUAAUACUGACAUAUAUAUUCCAGUACGAAUGGAAAUAGAAAAUCCAAAAUAAAUCUAUCAAAACAUAUUGAGAAUAUCAGACUAUUCGAAUCACCAUUACAUCUCUUGCAUACG
This 14746-nucleotide long non-coding RNA is filed under the name Elaeis guineensis (African oil palm). RNAcentral's name for it is "long non-coding RNA (EGUI_LNC028791)". The record is from RNAcentral. Lineage: Eukaryota; Viridiplantae; Streptophyta; Magnoliopsida; Arecales; Arecaceae.